CUUAUGGGUCAUCAGUGUCCAAAAUGUAAGGACUCUUUUAAAAACACAUGAUCACAAUGCUAUUAUUAUGUCCCCCAAAUGAAUAUUUUUUUCAUAAAUAUAAUCAAAUAUUUAGGAAUAACAUUUUAAUAAAAAACAUGCAUCUAAUCUUCAAAGAAUUUUAUAGCUUACUGGAACAGAUAGACAAAGAAAGCAGUGAUGAUACUGCAUUACAUCGGUACAGUAGCAUCAUAUGCCUGUGUAAAUUAUCUGACUUCAACUAUUCUAUGGAGGUGUGGGGGAGAAAGAGGGAGAGAUGGAGAGAAGAAGAAGGAGGAGAAGGAGGGAGAAGACAAGGUAAGGAGGAGAAGGAGGAGAAUUAGAAAAACAAGAGAGGAGAUGAGAAGGAAAGUGCAAAAUAACAAUUUUGAAAUAGUACAAGACAAUUUCCCCUUCUCCUUCCUCAUGACCAAUGUAAGUGUGACUUGAGGCAGGAACCUACUUUUCCAUCAGUCAGUCCCAUCACUUAUGUGCCUUUUAUAGUGUGGACACAUCACCACCCUGAAUAUAAUUUCAGUGUUUAGAAAUAAGUAUUCUUUGCAACACUAUUUAUCUCAUCUCAACAAGACUGAAAGCUCCUAUAGUGUCAGGAGAGUAGAAAGGAUCUGUAGCUUACAAUUCUCAUAGCAAAAUAAGCAUAGCAGGAUUUCAAUGACCAGCCCACAAAAGUAUCCUGUGUACUACUAGUUGAGGGGUGGCCCCUAAGUAAGAAACCCUAACAUGUAACUCUUAGGGGUAUUAUGUCAUUAACUUUUUAAAAAUCUACCAACGUGGAACCAGAUUCAGCAAGAAGAACAAGGACAACAUAGAUCCUUACAUAUACACACCCUUUGGAAGUGGACCCAGAAACUGCAUUGGCAUGAGGUUUGCUCUCAUGAACAUGAAACUUGCUCUAAUCAGAGUCCUUCAGAACUUCUCCUUCAAACCUUGUAAAGAAACACAGAUCCCCCUGAAAUUAAGCUUAGGAGGACUUCUUCAACCAGAAAAACCCGUUGUUCUAAAGGUUGAGUCAAGGGAUGGCACCGUAAGUGGAGCCUGAAUUUUCCUAAGGACUUCUGCUUUGCUCUUCAAGAAAUCUGUGCCUGAGAACACCAGAGACCUCAAAUUACUUUGUGAAUAGAACUCUGAAAUGAAGAUGGGCUUCAUCCAAUGGACUGCAUAAAUAACCGGGGAUUCUGUACAUGCAUUGAGCUCUCUCAUUGUCUGUGUAGAGUGUUAUACUUGGGAAUAUAAAGGAGGUGACCAAAUCAGUGUGAGGAGGUAGAUUUGGCUCCUCUGCUUCUCACGGGACUAUUUCCACCACCCCCAGUUAGCACCAUUAACUCCUCCUGAGCUCUGAUAAGAGAAUCAACAUUUCUCAAUAAUUUCCUCCACAAAUUAUUAAUGAAAAUAAGAAUUAUUUUGAUGGCUCUAACAAUGACAUUUAUAUCACAUGUUUUCUCUGGAGUAUUCUAUAAGUUUUAUGUUAAAUCAAUAAAGACCACUUUAC
Molecule: long non-coding RNA, 1528 nt
Filed under: Homo sapiens (human)
Lineage: Eukaryota; Metazoa; Chordata; Mammalia; Primates; Hominidae
Description: HSALNT0126267
Source: RNAcentral